This 588-nucleotide ribosomal RNA is filed under the name Dujonia oleophila. Its description in RNAcentral is "[Candida] oleophila partial large subunit ribosomal RNA". It matches the Rfam family "Eukaryotic large subunit ribosomal RNA", at positions 64 to 669 of the family's 3401-position model. Lineage: Eukaryota; Fungi; Ascomycota; Pichiomycetes; Serinales; Debaryomycetaceae. The record is from RNAcentral.
ACCAAUGAGGGUUCCUACGUAACGGCGAGUGAGCGGCAAAAGCUCAAAUUUGAAAUCUAGCACUUUCAGUGUUCGAGUUGUAAUUUGAAGAAGGUAACUUUGGAAUUGGCUCUUGUCUAUGUUCCUUGGAACAGGACGUCACAGAGGGUGAGAAUCCCGUGCGAUGAGAUGUCCAAUUCUAUGUAAAGUGCUUUCGAAGAGUCGAGUUGUUUGGGAAUGCAGCUCUAAGUGGGUGGUAAAUUCCAUCUAAAGCUAAAUAUUGGCGAGAGACCGAUAGCGAACAAGUACAGUGAUGGAAAGAUGAAAAGAACUUUGAAAAGAGAGUGAAAAAGUACGUGAAAUUGUUGAAAGGGAAGGGCUUGAGAUCAGACUUGGUAUUUUGUGUUCCUUAUUCUUUUUGGAUUUGGUUCCUCACAGCUUACCGGGCCAGCAUCGGUUUGGAUGGUAGGAUAAUGACAUUGGAAUGUAGCUUUGCUUCGGUGAAGUGUUAUAGACUUUGUUGAUACUGCCUAUCUAGACCGAGGACUGCGUCUUUGACUAGGAUGCUGGCGUAAUGAUCUUAAGCCGCCCGUCUUGAACACGGACCAA